UGUUGACGAAAUAAAUGAUGAGCUGAUUGAUAAAUUCCCUGGAGAUGAACAGGUCUACUACAGUUUUGAUGAGGCAGAAGAUGAUACGCACAACCAUUAUCCCAUCGAGUUUUUAAAUUCUCUCAACGUUAGUGGUUUGCCCCCUCAUUGUCUACACCUCAAGGUUGGAUGCCCGGUUAUACUUUUGCGUAACAUCGAUCCAUCGAACGGAUUAUGUAAUGGCACAAGAUUGAUAUGCAAAUCUUUUCAACGUAAUGUCAUCGAUGCAGAAAUAGCCGUUGGUGAACAUGUCGGGAAAAGAGUUUUUUUACCAAGAAUUCCUCUAUGUCCAUCUGAAAAUGAUAUGUUCCCUUUCAAGCUAAAAAGAAAACAGUUUCCUAUUCGCCUUAGCUUUGCGAUGACCAUCAACAAAGCUCAAGGCCAAACAAUUCCAAAUGUGGGUAUAUAUCUACCAGAAUCGGUAUUUUCGCACGGUCAACUUUACGUGGCACUAUCAAGAGGGAUAUCACGUGAAAAGACAAAGGUUUCAGUUAGGCCCGUGAAAGACUUCAACCGAUCUGGAGUAUACACAGCAAAUGUCGUGUAUAGAGAAGUGUUACACGACGUAUAAUUGUAUAUGUGAUGCUUAGAUGAGUAGGAAGCAGCUGGAAUAUGAAUCAUAUUCAGGUGAAAGUGAAACUUGAGGUGCAUCAUCAUCUAUUAUAAUGAAAGACAAUUGUCGGUGAAUGUUACAAAACCGUGUUUUAGUUGUUGAUCACCAGCUGCUAACAAAUGAAGAAAAGAAGGCUGCAAAUUUCUUUUUUUUUCCUAACUUCAUGUGUUCUUAAAUUCUCUAAGUUGUUUUUGUACGUGGAUUUGUCACCCAAGGUUGAUUCAUUUUAUGCUUAGGUACAUUCAUUUU
Long non-coding RNA from Erigeron canadensis, 901 nucleotides. RefSeq lists it as uncharacterized. The transcript is spliced from 3 exons. The record is from RefSeq and is a predicted model, not a curated record. NCBI's taxonomy places the organism in Eukaryota, Viridiplantae, Streptophyta, Magnoliopsida, Asterales, Asteraceae.